RNAcentral lists this ribosomal RNA (43 nucleotides) under Pneumocystis jirovecii. RNAcentral describes it as "small subunit ribosomal RNA". Lineage: Eukaryota; Fungi; Ascomycota; Pneumocystomycetes; Pneumocystales; Pneumocystaceae. The record is from RNAcentral.
UAAGAUAAUUCACAAAAGAAAGAGUUUAAUGUUAGCUCCGAAU